CCUACGGGAGGCAGCAGUGGGGAAUAUUGGACAAUGGGGGAAACCCUGAUCCAGCGACGCCGCGUGAGUGAAGAAGUAUUUCGGUACGUAAAGCUCUAUCAGCAGGAAAGAAAAUGACGGUACCUGACUAAGAAGCCCCGGCUAACUACGUGCCAGCAGCCGCGGUAAUACGUAGGGGGCAAGCGUUAUCCGGAUUUACUGGGUGUAAAGGGAGCGUAGACGGCAGCGCAAGUCUGGAGUGAAAUGCCGGGGGCCAACCCCGGAACUGCUCUGGAAACUGUGAAGCUGGAGUGCAGGAGAGGUAAGCGGAAUUCCGGGUGUAGCGGUGAAAUGCGUAGAUAUCAGGAGGAACACCGGCGGCGAAGGCGGCUUACUGGACUGUAACUGACGUUGAGGCUCGAAGGCGUGGGGAGCAAACAGGAUUAGAUACCCCGGUAGUC
This 440-nucleotide ribosomal RNA is filed under the name uncultured bacterium. RNAcentral's name for it is "partial 16S ribosomal RNA". It matches the Rfam family "Bacterial small subunit ribosomal RNA", at positions 338 to 795 of the family's 1533-position model. The record is from RNAcentral.